RNAcentral lists this small RNA (90 nucleotides) under Klebsiella pneumoniae. RNAcentral's name for it is "partial RtT sRNA". It matches the Rfam family "RtT RNA", at positions 1 to 89 of the family's 130-position model. From Rfam's summary of the family: This family represents a bacterial cis-regulatory element known as RtT RNA. The exact function of RtT is unknown although it is thought that it may be involved in changing the cellular response in relation to amino acid starvation. Lineage: Bacteria; Pseudomonadati; Pseudomonadota; Gammaproteobacteria; Enterobacterales; Enterobacteriaceae. The record is from RNAcentral.
UGUUUGCGCUUAGCGGGAAGGGUAAGAACCUUCGACUAAGGUUCGACUCGAGCGCCAGCGAGAGAACGUUGCCGCAGGCAAGGCCCGAAG